This 442-nucleotide ribosomal RNA is filed under the name uncultured bacterium. RNAcentral's name for it is "partial 16S ribosomal RNA". It matches the Rfam family "Bacterial small subunit ribosomal RNA", at positions 338 to 795 of the family's 1533-position model. The record is from RNAcentral.
CCUACGGGAGGCAGCAGUGGGGGAUAUUGCACAAUGGGGGAAACCCUGAUGCAGCGACGCCGCGUGGGCGAAGAAGUAUUUCGGUAUGUAAAGCCCUAUCAGCAGGGAAGAAGAAAUGACGGUACCUGAGUAAGAAGCACCGGCUAAAUACGUGCCAGCAGCCGCGGUAAUACGUAUGGUGCAAGCGUUAUCCGGAUUUACUGGGUGUAAAGGGAGCGCAGGCGGCACGGCAAGCCUGAUGUGAAAGCCCGGGGCCCAACCGCGGGACUGCAUUGGGAACUACCGGGCUGGAGUGCCGGAGAGGUAGGCGGAAUGCCUAGUGUAGCGGUGAAAUGCGUAGAUAUUAGGAGGAACACCAGUGGCGAAGGCGGCCUACUGGACGGUGACUGACGCUGAGGCUCGAAAGCGUGGGGAGCAAACAGGAUUAGAUACCCCUGUAGUC